Molecule: ribosomal RNA, 229 nt
Filed under: uncultured bacterium
Lineage: Bacteria
Description: partial 16S ribosomal RNA
Rfam family: Bacterial small subunit ribosomal RNA
Source: RNAcentral
UCCGUAGGUGGAUAAUUAAGUCAGAGGUGAAAUCCUGCAGCUCAACUGUAGAACUGCCAUUGAUACUGCGAGUCUUGAAUAUGGUUGAGGUAGGCGGAAUGUGUUGUGUAGCGGUGAAAUGCAUAGAUAUGACACAGAACGCCAAUUGCGAAGGCAGCUUACUAAGCCAUUAUUGACGCUGAGGCACGAAAGCGUGGGGAGCGAACAGGAUUAGAUACCCUGGUAGUCC